UUUGAGGAUGUUGAUGGAUGAUCUAGUCUACCGGAGAAUAUUUUUUUAAUUGAAAUUAACUAAAAGAUAGAUACUUGGAAUCGAGGAGCAUUUAUAAAUUUAAUAAAAUAUUUAACUAUUCAAAAAAAACUUUGGCGUGGAUGAAAACAGUGCUUAGGAAGAUUGAGGCCUGAAACAUAGACUGAAUGAAAGAGAAUUUAAUGCAUUGCAUAAAAAGUAGAAAUUAAACUGAACCUAGAACAUGGAUUGCAUGAAAGAAAAUUAAUUGAUUUCGUAAAAAAAAAUGAUUACAAAAAGUAAAAAGAUUGAAGAUGAAGCCUAAUGCUUCUUUCUUCUAAAAAAAAUAAAAAAUAAAAUAAAAUAAAAACAAGAAAUCUUAUUUCCUCUCCCUUUCUCUCCCAUGGU
Molecule: long non-coding RNA, 405 nt
Filed under: Phoenix dactylifera (date palm)
Lineage: Eukaryota; Viridiplantae; Streptophyta; Magnoliopsida; Arecales; Arecaceae
Description: long non-coding RNA (PDAC_LNC018606)
Source: RNAcentral